CAUGUCUUUUUGAGUAUAAUUUAAAGUCUAACCUGCCCAAUGAGGAGUUGAAUGGCCGCGGUAUUUUGACCGUGCAAAGGUAGCAUAAUCAUUAGUUUUUUAAUUGAAAGCUGGAAUGAAUGGUUGGACGAGAAAAUAACUGUCUCAGUAUAAUUUAAAUUAGAAUUUUAUUUUUAAGUAAGAAAGCUUAAAUUGAUUUAAAAGACGAGAAGACCCUAUAGAGUUUUAUAUUUAUUAUUAUAUGAAUAAUUAAGUAUUUUAAAAGUUUCUAUUAUAAUAAGUAUUUUGUUGGGGUGACAGAAAAAUUAAAUUAACUUUUUUUAUUUAUUAACAUUAAUUUAUGAGUGUUUGAUCCAUUAAUAAUGAUUAAAAGAUUAAAUUACCUUAGGGAUAACAGCGUAAUUUUUUUUGAGAGUUCUUAUCGAAAAAAAAGUUUGCGACCUCGAUGUUGGAUUAAAAUAAACUUUUGGUGCAGAAGCUAGAAAGUUAGGUCUGUUCGACCUUUAAAAUUUUACAUGAUCUGAGUUUAAACCGGUGUGAGCCAGGUUGGUUUCUAUCUUUAAAAAGUAAUUAUAUUUUAGUACGAAAGGACCAAAUAUAAGUAAUAUUUAUUUUACUUUGAUUAUUAUUAUUA
RNAcentral lists this ribosomal RNA (634 nucleotides) under Protaetia brevitarsis. Its description in RNAcentral is "partial 16S ribosomal RNA". It matches the Rfam family "Bacterial large subunit ribosomal RNA", at positions 1816 to 2735 of the family's 2925-position model. Lineage: Eukaryota; Metazoa; Arthropoda; Insecta; Coleoptera; Scarabaeidae. The record is from RNAcentral.